ACCCAUCUCGUCAAUCUCACCCUAUUUGGACUGGAUCAGCAGGGAGCAUUGAGUCCACAGAUUUUCUUCGACGCAGGAUUCCACCCGAAAUAGAACGAUUGGAGUAGACAACGUAGAGACCUGUAAUGUAAGGGUAUAACGAUGAGGAGGGGCGUGUGGGUGCUCUGAGCGCAGUCUGUCACUGUUAGAGUAACCUACUUAGAUUGCCGUUUUACUUUGAGUACUUUCCAUUCCAUUUCGGGGGUUCGGACCUCACAAGAGGUCUGAAAAUGAAAUAUUUCCGACCUGAUCCUUAUCAGAAGAUCCCUUCCGAAAAAAAGGCUAACAACCCUAUCAAAUUCAUUUGAUAAGCUUAUUUGACAUUGUGAGCAAUAAUUGAAUUCUUUAAGCGAAUCUGGAGAGCCUCAAACAGUCAGGGAACUGACAAUGAUCAAUCUAUCUGGGAUGGGAUGAAUCCAAAGUUUUUACCCACUUGACACAAAGUCAACAUCCAAGUCUAGACGAUCGAACACAAUCGCAAGAGCGAGUUCCAAGUCAAGUCAAAAAAAAUAGCUUUUAUUUAAAUAACCUCUCGUGUCAGAAAUGUGGAUGAUACGAACUGGAGCAAGAGUGGAGGGAGGAGAAGGAGGAAGAAGAAUUAGGGGGAUGGAGGAGAGAGAUUCAAAACCGGGAGGGAGGAUGAGCUACUUAAGUUUUAUGGUGUUGCCUCAGCAAUGAGUCGGAAUCUGGAAUCUGAUUUUUGUUUAACCAUCAUCAAGAGUUUGGAGACCUUGUGUUUGCCUUGGCGAGCUUUGGAGAGCUUUGAAUGCUCUCUGCCCCAAUUCACCGCUUGUUUAUAGCACUUUCAACUUCUGCCCUCUCCUAGAUCCUCCUUUGGACAUUCCAAGGCAGCAGGACGCCAAUUCAAACCCUCAACUCUAAAGUACUCUAAAGAUAUAUAUCAGUGAUUGGUUGCUUUGGGGGGUUAAACCGUCAAAAUCUGAUCGAAACCUGAUGCUUGCGUUUGGGUCCACAAUCUCGUUCCGGUCAAAUAUGGAUCAAAGAAUUCUUGAAACUUAUCUUGUGAGAGUUCUAGUCAACAACUCCGCCAUUUGAUGAUGGAAGAAGUGUCUGUUUGCAAUUUGUCGCCUUCAGAUGAAUAUCCUUGUUUUAGCAGCGGACGUCAUGUUUAUGUUAGCAUCGAUUGUAGGAUUUGGGUUGUCGUAUUGGAAAUUCUGAAGAUUACAGAAUGUAUGUUUGGUCCAGACGAUGUACAAUAAAACCCCACCUGCAUCACAAAGCUAAUCGUCAAGCAAACAUAUUCGUCUGGAUGUUUACUUACCCCGAAACACACGGGUAAUGGAACGAAUUAUGCAAAAAAGCGACCACUUUUGUGCCUCAAAAGCCCAAGUUUUGAGAAAUUGCCAUCAACACAUUAUAAAGAGGGGAAAUGAGGCCACUCCGUAGAUGAGCUCGGUGGAAAACAACUCAUUCCCAAAAGCAAAUGAGCUAUGGUGGAAGAAUGCUCAAUGUCUGGACAUGUCGGAGUAGAACAAAAGAUUGUUAUUCACCUUGAAACAAGAACUCAAUAAGAUUAUAAAUGUAUUAGACAUGAUAAGUACAAGUCAGAUACGAGACUAAAGCUUUUAAACAUGUACUAUGCCCUUUGAUUCCCAUGAAGUAUUUGAGACUCAGUCGUCUGGCUUGUAUAGUUCAUUUUCCUGACUGAGACAAUUAAUAGAUAAAAACUUCACCGCCUGAUCACAACAAAGAUGUCACAAAAGAUGUUGAACCUAACGAACACUCUCUUCUCCAAAGCAAUCUAGAAAUUAAGUAUUGUUAAAGGUACAAGAAUCUGAAAUGAAAAAACCCAAGAGUUGAAAGAUGGGUCUCACUCAGAACAACGAAUUCGCUGACCCACAUAUUAUUGAGCCAACUGGCAGUGUCAGUUCUCCUAGUGUCAUCCACAGGGUCGGUUCGACUCGAUUUUUGAGUGAUUGCGACAGAUUUCUGCCUUGACUGAUUAGUGGUCCCACGGACAAGGACGAGUGCGCUGAAAAUCAUCUUCAAGAAACUGCUGGCCCAAGACGCUCAUGAUUGAGAACUCAUUUUCUGGAGAAUUAGUUCGCAAUCCUUCUUUGAAUUCAUGGGCUGGCAAAAAGACAACCACGAUCAUUUCUUAAAUAUAAUUCUCAAUCCAUU
Tigriopus californicus is the source of this 2181-nucleotide long non-coding RNA. RefSeq lists it as uncharacterized. Lineage: Eukaryota; Metazoa; Arthropoda; Copepoda; Harpacticoida; Harpacticidae. The record is from RefSeq and is a predicted model, not a curated record. The transcript has 3 exons.